Long non-coding RNA from Phyllostomus discolor (pale spear-nosed bat), 262 nucleotides. RefSeq lists it as uncharacterized. The record is from RefSeq and is a predicted model, not a curated record. Lineage: Eukaryota; Metazoa; Chordata; Mammalia; Chiroptera; Phyllostomidae. The transcript is spliced from 2 exons.
GAGGACACGGAAAGUGCUAUUGUGUGAAACGGACAGUGCUUCCCAUCUUCACAUCACUCACUUGGAUCUGGCUCACGGGAGUAGCUGCUGGCUUAUCCAAGGAUGAUGACAUGCUGCUCCCCAUCCUGAAAGGAAUUGUUGGAGGUAGCACCGUUUAUUAAACAGUAAAGACAAUAUAUCAGAUGACAUGCAUUUGAAGAAAACCUAGUAUGCAAGUAUAUAUCCGAACUUAGGAAAAUAAUAAAAAAAUAGGUUUUACUUA